This 392-nucleotide ribosomal RNA is filed under the name uncultured bacterium. RNAcentral's name for it is "bacterial SSU rRNA". It matches the Rfam family "Bacterial small subunit ribosomal RNA", at positions 41 to 479 of the family's 1533-position model. The record is from RNAcentral.
GGCAGGCUUAACACAUGCAAGUCGAACGGGCACUUCGGUGCUAGUGGCAGACGGGUGAGUAACACGUGGGAACGUACCUUUCGGUUCGGAAUAAUUCAGGGAAACUUGGACUAAUACCGGAUACGCCCUUCGGGGGAAAGAUUUAUCGCCGAUAGAUCGGCCCGCGUCUGAUUAGCUAGUUGGUGAGGUAAUGGCUCACCAAGGCGACGAUCAGUAGCUGGUCUGAGAGGAUGAUCAGCCACAUUGGGACUGAGACACGGCCCAAACUCCUACGGGAGGCAGCAGUGGGGAAUAUUGGACAAUGGGCGCAAGCCUGAUCCAGCCAUGCCGCGUGAGUGAUGAAGGCCUUAGGGUUGUAAAGCUCUUUUGUCCGGGAAGAUAAUGACUGUACC